AACAAUAGUUUCUAGCAGAAAUUAUAACAGUAUUAGAAAUCAUUUUAACACCACAUCUUUAAAACAUUUGUAAAUAUAACAAAUUAAUAAUGAAACUAUUUCAAGUGAUAUUCGCAAUUGGCUGCAUAAUUGUCAGCGUUUUGGCAGCGCCUGGUCAUAAUAUCGUAAAAGGCGAUCACAAUACUAAUAUUUCUCAAAGCAAUAGCGAUUUUGAUCUUGGUAUCGAUUUUUCACUAUAAUUAUAAAAAUCAUGAGAAAAUUAUAGAAAAAAACUGUAUAAAUAGACAUGUCAAGGCAAUGUCUGAUACAUUUGAAAAUAUAGCACUCCAGCCUAAAGUACACUUUAUCAGAAUGAAAUUAUUGCAAGUACUAUUUGGAAUUUCUUGCGUUAUAGCCCUCGCUAUGGCUGUUCCUGGUGAUAAUACAAUUAAGGGAGAUAACAAUACUGGAAAUGAACAGAGCAAUCUAGAUUUUAGUGCCAAAUUAUUUGGCUAAUUUAUUUAUAAUGUUUUAUUAUUCCAGAAUCUCGACUUUGAGAUCUUGUGAUUUUCGGAAUGCAAAUAAAUGAAUUAUAAUUUACUUUUUCUGUAUAAA
This is a long non-coding RNA of Lucilia sericata (common green bottle fly), 594 nucleotides long. RefSeq lists it as uncharacterized. The record is from RefSeq and is a predicted model, not a curated record. NCBI's taxonomy places the organism in Eukaryota, Metazoa, Arthropoda, Insecta, Diptera, Calliphoridae. The transcript has 4 exons.